UUCCGGUUGAUCCUGCCGGACCUGACUGCUAUCGGAUUGAUACUAAGCCAUGCUAGUCUUUGUAGUAAUACAAGGCAUACGGCUCAGUAACGCGUAGUCAACCUACCCUAUGGACGGGGAUAAUCUCGGGAAACUGAGCAUAAUACCCGGCAGACCACUUAUCCUGGAAUGGUUAGUGGUUAAAAUGAUUCGUCGCCAUAGGAUGGGACUGCGGCCUAUCAGCUUGUUGGUGAGGUAAUGGCCCACCAAGGCGAUUACAGGUACGGGCUCUGAGAGGAGAGGCCCGGAGAUGGGUACUGAGACAAGGACCCAGGCCCUAUGGGGCGCAGCAGGCGAGAAAACUUUGCAAUGUGCGAAAGCACGACAAGGUUAAUCCGAGUGAUUUCUGCUAAAGGAAUCUUUUGUUAGUUCUAAAAAUACUAGUGAAUAAGGGGUGGGCAAGUUCUGGUGUCAGCCGCCGCGGUAAAACCAGCACCUCAAGUGGUCAGGAGGAUUAUUGGGCCUAAAGCAUCCGUAGCCUGUUCUAUAAGUUUGCGGUUAAAUCUAUACGCUCAACGUAUAGGCUGCCGUAAAUACUGUAGAACUAGGGAGUGGGAGAGGUAGACGGUACUCGAUAGGAAGGGGUAAAAUCCUUUGAUCUAUUGAUGACCACCUGUGGCGAAGGCGGUCUACCAGAACACGUUCGACGGUGAGGGAUGAAAGCUGGGGGAGCAAACCGGAUUAGAUACCCGGGUAGUCCCAGCUGUAAACGAUGCAGACUCGAUGAUGCAAUGGCAUAGAGCUAUUGCAGUAUCGCAGGGAAGCCGUUAAGUCUGCCGCCUGGGAAGUACGUACGCAAGUAUGAAACUUAAAGGAAUUGGCGGGGGAGCACCACAAGGGGUGAAGCCUGCGGUUCAAUUGGAAUCAACGCCGGA
Molecule: ribosomal RNA, 914 nt
Filed under: uncultured archaeon
Lineage: Archaea
Description: bacterial SSU rRNA
Rfam family: Archaeal small subunit ribosomal RNA
Source: RNAcentral